Molecule: small RNA, 428 nt
Filed under: Histoplasma ohiense
Lineage: Eukaryota; Fungi; Ascomycota; Eurotiomycetes; Onygenales; Ajellomycetaceae
Description: hypothetical lncRNA
Source: RNAcentral
AAAACACAUACGGAGUACACUCUUCUGGAUAACUCUUAGCGCUAAUUUCUAAUUUCUCACUAAUUAUAACUGGAGCUCAUCCUCCUUGGUUGAAGAUAAUACUUCUAGAAAGUCGAGUUAAAAUCUUACUAGAAGUGCUUUUAGUGGGUGCCAUGAAGAUUUUGGCAAGAAAAGAACAACUCUGCUUUAGAAGCCAAAAAUAAAGCUGCGGGAGGGUUUGUUGAACAGAAUGAACUUUGACAAGUAACUAGCUGAUGGCUUGUAUAUAGUGGAAUGUUAUUAUUGGUUGCGGUCUACAUUGUGUCUUCGGGCAAGUCUGACAAGGAAAAUACGAAAUUAAAAAGGCUAUUGAGAUGAAAAAUUAUAUGAGUUUGACUUAGUGAAGAAUAGGUAGAUAGAUAAUGAAAAGGAAGGAGACAUAAUGAAAC